GGCCGUCGUCAGUUCGUACCGUAAGGCGUUCUGUCAAGUCAGAUAACGAACGAGACCCUCGCCCUUAGUUGCGAGUUCGUCCUCCGGGACGGGCGCACACUAAGGGGACCGCUGGCGCUAAGUCAGAGGAAGGAGAGGUCAACGGUAGGUCCGUAUGCCCCGAAUCCCCCGGGCAACACGCGCGCUACAAAGGACGGGACAAUGGGUUCCGACACCGAGAGGUGCAGGCAAUCCCGAAACCCGUUCGUAGUUCGGACUGAGGGCUGUAACCCGCCCUCACGAAGAUGGAUUCCGUAGUAAUCGCGUGUCAACAUCACGCGGUGAAUAUGCCCCUGCUCCUUGCACACACCGCCCGUCAAGCCACCCGAGUUGAGCCUGGGUGAUGGUUCCGUUUUUGCGGCGCUAGAACCUAGGUUCAGCAAGGAGGGCUAAGUCGUAAA
Molecule: ribosomal RNA, 440 nt
Filed under: Methanobacteriota archaeon
Lineage: Archaea; Methanobacteriati; Methanobacteriota
Description: bacterial SSU rRNA
Rfam family: Archaeal small subunit ribosomal RNA
Source: RNAcentral